This 141-nucleotide small RNA is filed under the name Arabidopsis thaliana (thale cress). Its description in RNAcentral is "ATSL109570". Lineage: Eukaryota; Viridiplantae; Streptophyta; Magnoliopsida; Brassicales; Brassicaceae. The record is from RNAcentral.
UUUUUUUUGGAAGUAGACAUCAAAUGCACUUUAAACCAUAAAUGAAUAUGAAAGAGGAAGCAAAACAGGCAAGAGUCUCAACCUUAUCAAUUUGUCUCCUUCAUUUAAAGUUUGGAUUCAUAAUAGCUUUCAGAUUUUGUU